GAUCAUGGCUCAGGACGAACGCUAGCGACAGGCUUAACACAUGCAAGUCGAGGGGCAGCAUGAUUUGUAGCAAUACAGAUUGAUGGCGACCGGCGCACGGGUGAGUAACGCGUAUGCAACUUACCUAUCGAGAGGGGGAUAGCCCGGCGAAAGUCGGAUUAAUACCCCAUAAAACAGGGGUCCCGCAUGGGAAUAUUUGUUAAAGAUUCAUCGCUGAUAGAUAGGCAUGCGUU
This 233-nucleotide ribosomal RNA is filed under the name uncultured bacterium. RNAcentral's name for it is "partial 16S ribosomal RNA". It matches the Rfam family "Bacterial small subunit ribosomal RNA", at positions 15 to 237 of the family's 1533-position model. The record is from RNAcentral.